RNAcentral lists this ribosomal RNA (253 nucleotides) under uncultured bacterium. RNAcentral's name for it is "partial 16S ribosomal RNA". It matches the Rfam family "Bacterial small subunit ribosomal RNA", at positions 524 to 776 of the family's 1533-position model. The record is from RNAcentral.
UACGGAGGGUGCAAGCGUUAAUCGGAAUUACUGGGCGUAAAGCGAGUGUAGGUGGCUAUGUAAGUCGGAUGUGAAAUCCCCGGGCUCAACCUGGGAACUGCAUUCGAUACUGCAUGGCUAGAGUCUGAUAGAGGGAAGUGGAAUUCCAGGUGUAGCGGUGAAAUGCGUAGAUAUCUGGAAGAACACCAGUGGCGAAGGCGGCUUCCUGGAUCAAGACUGACACUGAGGCUCGAAAGCGUGGGGAGCAAACAGG